RNAcentral lists this ribosomal RNA (482 nucleotides) under uncultured bacterium. RNAcentral's name for it is "partial 16S ribosomal RNA". It matches the Rfam family "Bacterial small subunit ribosomal RNA", at positions 30 to 507 of the family's 1533-position model. The record is from RNAcentral.
AUUGAACGCUGGCGGCAUGCCUUACACAUGCAAGUCGAACGGUAACGGGCCUUCGGGUGCCGACGAGUGGCGUACGGGUGAGUAAUACAUCGGAACGUGCCCGAUCGUGGGGGGUAACGAGGCGAAAGCUUUGCUAAUACCUCAUACGAUCUACGGAUGAAAGCAGGGGACUGCAAGGCCUUGCGCGGACGGUGCGGCCGAUGGCAGAUUAGGUAGUUGGUGGGAUAAAAGCUUACCAAGUCGACGAUCUGUAGCUGGUCUGAGAGGAUGAUCCGCCACACUGGAACUGAGACACGGCCCAGACUCCUACGGGAGGCAGCAGUGGGGAAUUUUGGACAAUGGGCGCAAGCCUGAUCCAGCCAUGCCGCGUGCAGGAUGAAGGCCUUCGGGUUGUAAACUGCUUUUGUACGGAACGAAAAGCCUUCUUUUAAUACAGGAGGGUCAUGACGGUACCGUAAGAAUAAGCACCGGCUAACUACGUG